Molecule: long non-coding RNA, 5705 nt
Filed under: Capsicum annuum
Lineage: Eukaryota; Viridiplantae; Streptophyta; Magnoliopsida; Solanales; Solanaceae
Description: long non-coding RNA (CANN_LNC006898)
Source: RNAcentral
UGAUUUAGGCGUGAUUUAUGGCUGGUUUUAUGUUGGUUGUGUUUGUCUUAGCCUAAGGAACCUAGAUAUACAAGAAAAUCCAAAUUUGGGGUUCAUUUGAUAGAAGGUCAAACUUUGGUCAACUCUUGAAUAUUCAUCUUGUUCUUCAAUCUUCAUCAUACCUUGUUUGAGAAGAAUAUUCAAAGGUGUUGUUUGAUCCAAAAGAGGGAAGAAAGAGGGAGAAAAAGUUGUUUGUCCAAAAGCAUAUUCAAAGAAUAUUCUAUUCUUCCAAAAGGAGGAGGGGACAAGGGAACAAACAAAGUACAAGUGCAAUUAUUAGGGGGGGACCAUUUCAUUUCAUUUUUCAUUUGACACUUGAAAGAACCCUAAAUUGCCUCAUUCCAUCCCUAAAUCCGAAAUUAGCAUUCCCAAAGGGUAAUGUUUGGCAAAAAUUAAGUUUUGGAAAAAUUUGAAAAUUUCAAAAAGUGACAACCAACCAUGAAGUGCCACAUCAUCAUUUGUGCUCAACCAAAAUUCGACUCUAAACUUAGAUUUCUUAGUUUCUAAUUUUUUAUUCUAGUUUCUUUAAGCUAAUUAUAUCACUAAUUAACAAACUAGUAAGUACCUACUAGGUUGGUAAUUAGAUUAGAGUUCGUUUAUUUCGCAUCUUCGAUUUUUGUGUGCUUUUCUCGUUUUUAAAUUCAUAGUAUUUUGUUGGUUCAAGUGCGUGCAUCACUUAUUUGAGUUGUAACAAUCAAAGAUCAAUUCCGAACCAAAGCUUCUCACCUCUCAAGUAACUUGCCAAGUAUUGCCGAUUCUCCAACACUGGUGAAACCAAGUGUGAGGUGAGGUUGAGUGUGAGUGAAGUGAGGCUUUUGAACUAACUCAUUUGUUCGUUUUGUAGGUUGUUUUGUUUGCUGUUUUUUGCACUUUUUAGGUACAUUUUCCAUGGAAUUUGGGGGUACUACUUCCCAAUCUUUGGGAAAUGAUGCUAUUGGAGCCUUGAUGACUCAAAUUGAGGCCUUGGGACGAGACAUGAAGAGUAACCAUAAUGCCUUGGCUAGAAAAAUAGAAGAUAGUCAUGAUGCCUUAUGGAAUGAUAUGGAUGCUAUGAAGGGUCACAUAAUUAGAAUAAAAGCGGGGGGUAGAUAGACUAUGUCCACCAAACCCUUCACAAGUCCAAAGAUCCUAUACUUCACAAAAUCCAAUGCCUCCUCUCCACAAGUUAGAAUUCAAAGAGAAUGAGGCCAACCCUCAAGAUGGAGAGAAACUUGAGGGUGAGAUACAAAAGGAGUAUGAAAAAAAGAGGGAAAAGGAAAAGGAAGUCGUGGGUAGUGAUGUUAGGAUGGAAGAAAAAUGCUUGAUUGUGGAUCUUGUCCACAAAGAAUCCUUAUUACUCACUAACCCAAAUACUAUCAUUUUGCCUAGUAUUUUACCUUCUCAUGUGCAGGUUCAAGACCCUAGAUAUCCCAAGGAGAAGCCCAAGGAAGUUCCCUUCAAGCCCUUGUCCGAAAGACCCUAGCGGUACGCUUUAGGAGUUCAUCAUCCCCACUUAGAAGUGGGAGGUGGUGAAUAUGGACUUUGUCAUAGGGUUGUCCUGUACGCAGUGUCAUCAUGAUUCUAUUUGGGUCAUUGUGGAUUGAAUGGCCAAGUCAGCUUAUUUUUUGCCAGUUUAUACUUCUUAUUCAGUUAAAGACUAUACUAGACUCUAUCUCAAGGAGUUAGUAAAGUUGCAUGGAGUUCGACUAUCAUUCAGAUAGAGGUACUCAGUUUACCUCUCAUUCUUGGAAGGCUUUUAUAAGGGUCUAGGUACCCAAGUUCAUCUCAGUAUGACUUUUUAUCCCCAGAAAGAUGGUCAGGCAAAAAUAAGUAUUCAGACCUUAGAUAAUAUAUUGAGAGCUUGUGUUAUUAAUUUCAAUAGUAGUUGGGAUGAUCAUUACCUUUGAUCGAAUUACCUACAACAAUAGCUAUCACUCUAGUAUUUGGAUGGCUCUCUUUGAGUCUUUCUAUGGUAGGAGGUGUAGAUCUCCUAUUAGUUGAUUUGAAGUAGGUAAGGCUUCAUUGAUAGGACCAGAUUUAGUAUAUGAGGUGAUGGAAAAGGUUCAAUUAAUUCGAGAAAGGUUGAAGACAGCAUAAAGUUGUCAGGAAUCCUAUGUAGAUGUGAGAAGAAGGGAACUUAAAUUUGUUAGUGGUGAUUUUGUGUAUCUAAAAAUUUCACUCAUGAAACGGAUAAAGAGGUUUGGUAAGAAAUAAAAGCUCGGUCCCCGCUAUGUUGGCCCGUAUAAGAUUUUGAGUCAUUUAGGAAAGGUAGCUUAUGAUCUAGAGUUUCCUGCAGAUAUACCAGUGCAUCCUGUGUUUCAUGUCUCUCUGCUUAAAAAAUGCAUUGAUGACCCAGCCUCAAUCAUGCCCUUAGAGAAUUUGGGUGUGGAAGAUAUCCUCUCCUAUGAGGAAGUCCCAGUUGAAAUCCUUGAUUGUCAGAUCUAUAGGUUGAGGAAUAAGGAGAUUGCCUUGGUUAAGGUUCAAUGGAGAAAUCAGUCCGCUGAGGGAGUAACGUGGGAGGCGAAAGCUUAUAUGCGAACCAAGUAUCCCUAUCUCUUCUCUACAAAUUCAGAUUCAGCUUGAGGUAAUAAUUUUCCUAACGUAAUCUUCUUGUUCUCUAUCUCAGUUAUUCAGUCAUCCUCAUGUCAUAGCAUGCAUUUAUUAGUUCAGUCAUACAUCACAUUACAGAUUUUAGAUACUUAAUCAUGAUUCAACUCAUAAGUAUUUAGUGCAUGAUCUCAGUCUUCCUAGUACGGAGCUCAACUAGUUUCAUUCGAGGAAAAAUGAUCUCAAGAGGAAGAUAUUAUAAUAUCUCGAGUUUUUAUGUAUUAAACCUCACAAAAGAUAGGUCACCAACUUAGCUUUCCAAUACAUCAAGCCUCUUCUUAAUCCGAUGUCGUGGCAAAAAGUUAUGAAAAGUUUCCCUUAAGGAUUUGAUACACUACCAUGACUAUGACUCAGGAAAUGAGUCGUAACCACUCAUAAUGAGUCGUCAUAAGUGAGUCAUAGUCAUUGCACUAAAGACCUCGCAUUUGGUCCCAGUGCCUACGACUUCUCCCUAAAACUUAUAAUCAAUGGCUACGAGUCGUAUGGAAUAACUCGUAGACACUACAGUAUGAUACCUAAGAUCCCUUUCAAUGGUUACGAGUCCAGUAUACGACUCAUAAUAAGACGUUAUGAGUCAUAUGGUGAAAUUCGUAGUUAGACUAUAAAGGGACCUCAAAACCUAAGUUCUAGCUUACGACUUAGACUACGACUCAUAGUUAGUCUGAACGAGUUGUAGGGUGAGUCGUAACGACUGGGAACGUCUUUUCUAUAUGUUUUCUUAGGGACUUUUAUGUCUUUUGAGACUCCCUUAAAAGUCAAACCCAUGUCAUUUUGGUUUCCCAGUGGAUGGUAUAAAAGGACCCAAAAGCCCCAAAUUUAUCAAUUAACUAUAUUCUACCUAAAAGAGAUCAAAGAGGCAAUCUUCCUAUCUUCCUCAAGCAAACUAGAGUUUCUCAAGAGCUAGAUCAAUUCCAAGGAAUUUCCCCAGGGCUCUCACUACCAGGUAUGUGGGAUAUUCAUGAUGGGUCCCAUCCACCCUCAAUUUACUUUGAUUGGAAACCAUGUAAAUACAUUCCCACAUAAUAAUGGUGUUUCCAUAUGUUUGAUAAUGAAAAUGUCUACUCCAUGCUUUAUUGUUGAAUUAAUGAGUGUUAAAUAUGAUUUUUCUCUACCAUAAAUUGUUAAAUUCUGUAUUAAAUAGUACUGGUGGGUUAUGACCACUCGAUACCUAGGAAAAUCAUGCAUGUUACAAUUUUCAUAUUACAAGUCAUUAAGAUUUAUGCUUGCAUCAUUAAUUUUAGAGCAUUUUUCAUAAUGAUCACUAUCAGUACCAAAUCAUGUCAAAGGAAUAAUAAUACCAGUGUCAUUCAGUUAGGAGUAACCCUUAGCAUCUAGUGAAUACAUGGAUGGCGGCUCCCCUGUCAAUUACGCAUGAGUCGUUAGUAGCAGUCUCUAAGUUCCAGACCUACGGAGAAACCGUAGAUUGUGAGAGGUCCCCCAUCAAUAGAGGCAUGACACCUUAUCCUUCAGAAUAUUAGAUUAGUAGAUCCACGCCAGCCAGUGUUUGUACCCCUGGCAAGGUACCAGCACCCUUCCAACAGGGGUUACAGGUUGAACACCGAUUUACUCAGAUUGGGGCAUAUUGAUUAUAGUUAGAUCUCAUAGUCUCAGUUCAGCAUUUAGGUUAUAUAAAUUUAGGCUUGCAUGACCAAGUAUUCACUUUAUCAAUUAUUCAGUUAUCCAGCUGUUACAGAUUAUUUCAGUACAUAUUUAUGCUUGGCCUUACAUUUAUUUUACAUGCACAUGUAUUUAUGCUCAGCACUUAAAUGUAUUUCAUUUGUCCCUAUCUCAUCACCAGUACAUUCAAAGUACUGAUCCCAUACUCUCUUUUGUGUUAUGUUAUCUUAUAACAUAGGUUUGGAGGCCCAGUCUCCCGAUCGUUCUUAGAUAGGUCGUGUACCAACCCGUUAUAGGUUUUGGUGAGUCCUCAUUAGUGGAGAACUAGUUUUACUAUUUAUCCUGCUUUUCAGUAUUUCAGUUAAUGUUUAUUUCAAUAGUCAGAGUUAGUAAGGGACCUGUCCCAACAACUCAUCAUGUUUAGAGGCUUUCAGUCAGUUAGCUAUAUUUUUAGUACAAAGUUUCAAACUCCUUUGUUAUUGAUUUGAUAUUUAGUUGUUCAUUUAAAUGAUUUCACACAGUAUUUUGCUAUUUACUUUUAGUACCUUAUAGCUUAUGCCAGUUCUUGGGUUAGCUUGGGGUCACUUGUAGCCUUAACCACCAUAUUAUAAUGACAAGGGGUAGUUUGGUUAUUUACUUUCUGUUGAUUGUAUCCUCUGGGCAUAUGUGGGCUCACAUUAGGUUAUUUACUUUUUAGCACUAACUAGCUUAUGCGGGCCAGUCUUGUAGUGUUAGUUAUAUUUUUUUCAUAUCAUAUCUGUUGUGUUUAUUUAUUCACAAUGUUGUAGCUUAUUUCUAGGUUCACCCUUUUACCUUGACUUAGUUUAUUUGUCUUGCAUUAUAUCAUAUUUAUAUCACGAUUAAGCUCAGUCGGUUGAUGAUGCCUACUAAGUACUCGUGAUUUUGGUGCUCAUACAACACUUCUGUACUUUUUUGGUGCAGAUCUGAGUAUUAGUGAUCGUCGCUGACAUGACAAUUGUGCUAAAUUGAUUUUGGAGAUAGGGUGAGCUCUUGGAGUUAGAGUUGUUCCUUUUUCCUUCAAUUGUCUAUGUCUAGUCUUUCACCAUUGAGAUAGAUUGUAUUUGACUAUUUUAGUACUUAUGUCUUUUGUAGUAGCUCUUGUAUCGACACUACUAGGUUGUGUGAUGGUUAUUGAUGUUUUAUUUAUCUUUUAGACUAUCAUUAUUGCCUUAUUAUUUUUUAAGUCUUAAAUUAUUAAUUUUCAGCUUUUAGGCUAUUUUUCACCAAAGUUAGCCCAUUGCUUAUAUCUCCAGGCUACGACUGGCUUACCUACUAAUGGGAUAAAGUAGGUGUCCUCAUGAAGCCCUAAAUCGGGUUGUGACAAUAAGGUUCCUUUAAAUCUAGCAAUUUAUGAAAAACUUGAACGUGUAUGAUUUUCAUGUCUAGCUAGACAGUAAAUGCUAUAGAAAAAUCCUUGAAAGAUUUAAAAGAGAUUUGAUCUA